GACGAACGCUGGCGGCGCGCCUAACACAUGCAAGUCGAACGAGAGAUGAGGAGCUUGCUCUUCAAAUCGAGUGGCGAACGGGUGAGUAACGCGUGAGGAACCUGCCUCAAAGAGGGGGACAACAGUUGGAAACGACUGCUAAUACCGCAUAAGCCCACGGCUCGGCAUCGAGCAGAGGGAAAAGGAGCAAUCCGCUUUGAGAUGGCCUCGCGUCCGAUUAGCUAGUUGGUGAGGUAACGGCCCACCAAGGCGACGAUCGGUAGCCGGACUGAGAGGUUGAACGGCCACAUUGGGACUGAGACACGGCCCAGACUCCUACGGGAGGCAGCAGUGGGGAAUAUUGCACAAUGGGGGAAACCCUGAUGCAGCGACGCCGCGUGGAGGAAGAAGGUCUUCGGAUUGUAAACUCCUGUUGUUGAGGAAGAUAAUGACGGUACUCAACAAGGAAGUGACGGCUAACUACGUGCCAGCAGCCGCGGUAAAACGUAGGUCACAAGCGUUGUCCGGAAUUACUGGGUGUAAAGGGAGCGCAGGCGGGAGAACAAGUUGGAAGUGAAAUCCAUGGGCUCAACCCAUGAACUGCUUUCAAAACUGUUUUUCUUGAGUAGUGCAGAGGUAGGCGGAAUUCCCGGUGUAGCGGUGGAAUGCGUAGAUAUCGGGAGGAACACCAGUGGCGAAGGCGGCCUACUGGGCACCAACUGACGCUGAGGCUCGAAAGUGUGGGUAGCAAACAGAAUUAGAUACCCUGGUAGUCCACACCGUAAACGAUGAUUACUAGGUGUUGGAGGAUUGACCCCCUCAGUGCCGCAGUUAACACAAUAAGUAAUCCACCUGGGGAGUACGACCGCAAGGUUGAAACUCAAAGGAAUUGACGGGGGCCCGCACAAGCAGUGGAGUAUGUGGUUUAAUUUGACGCAACGCGAAGAACCUUACCAAGUCUUGACAUCCCUCGACGAUGCUGGAAACAGUAUUUCUCUUCGGAGCAAGGAGACAGGUGGUGCAUGGUUGUCGUCAGCUCGUGUCGUGAGAUGUUGGGUUAAGUCCCGCAACGAGCGCAACCCUUAUGGUCAGUUACUACGCAAGAGGACUCUGGCCAGACUGCCGUUGACAAAACGGAGGAAGGUGGGGAGGACGUCAAAUCAUCAUGCCCCCUAUGACUUGGGCUACACACGUACUACAAUGGCGUUAAACAAAGAGAAGCAAGACCGCGAGGUGGAGCAAAACUCAGAAACAACGUCCCAGUUCGGACUGCAGGCUGCAACUCGCCUGCACGAAGUCGGAAUUGCUAGUAAUCGUGGAUCAGCAUGCCACGGUGAAUAAGUUCCCGGGCCUUGUACA
RNAcentral lists this ribosomal RNA (1338 nucleotides) under uncultured bacterium. RNAcentral describes it as "bacterial SSU rRNA". It matches the Rfam family "Bacterial small subunit ribosomal RNA", at positions 28 to 1387 of the family's 1533-position model. The record is from RNAcentral.